GUUUGAUCCUGGCUCAGGAUGAACGCUGGCGGCGUGCUUAACACAUGCAAGUCGAACGGGAAUUACUUUAUUGAAACUUCGGUCGAUUUAAUUUAAUUCUAGUGGCGGACGGGUGAGUAACGCGUGGGUAACCUGCCUUGUACAGGGGGAUAACAGUCAGAAAUGACUGCUAAUACCGCAUAAGCGCACAGGACCGCAUGGUCCGGUGUGAAAAACUCCGGUGGUAUAAGAUGGACCCGCGUUGGAUUAGCUUGUUGGCAGGGCAACGGCCUACCAAGGCGACGAUCCAUAGCCGGCCUGAGAGGGUGAACGGCCACAUUGGGACUGAGACACGGCCCAGACUCCUACGGGAGGCAGCAGUGGGGAAUAUUGCACAAUGGGGGAAACCCUGAUGCAGCGACGCCGCGUGAAGGAAGAAGUAUCUCGGUAUGUAAACUUCUAUCAGCAGGGAAGAAAAUGACGGUACCUGACUAAGAAGCCCCGGCUAACUACGUGCCAGCAGCCGCGGUAAUACGUAGGGGGCAAGCGUUAUCCGGAUUUACUGGGCGUAAAGGGAGCGCAGGCGGUGCGGCAAGUAAUGAUGUGAAAGCCCGGGGCUCAACCCUGGUACUGCAUUGGAAACUGUCGUACUAGA
Molecule: ribosomal RNA, 634 nt
Filed under: uncultured bacterium
Lineage: Bacteria
Description: bacterial SSU rRNA
Rfam family: Bacterial small subunit ribosomal RNA
Source: RNAcentral